UGUUUGGGAAUGCAGCUCAAAUGGGUGGUAAAUUCCAUCUAAAGCUAAAUAUUGGCGAGAGACCGAUAGCGAACAAGUACCGUGAGGGAAAGAUGAAAAGCACUUUGGAAAGAGAGUUAAACAGUACGUGAAAUUGUUGAAAGGGAAACGAUUGAAGUCAGUCGUGUUCAUUGGAUUCAGCUAGUUCUUCUAGUCUACUUCCUUUGAACGGGUCAACAUCAGUUUUGUCCGGUGGAUAAAGGAUUUAGGAAUGUAACUCCCUCGGGAGUGUUAUAGCCUAGGUUCACAUACACUGGGUGAGACUGAGGACUGCAGCUCGCCUUUUGGCCGGGGUUCGCCCACGUUCGAGCUUAGGAUGUUGACAUAAUGGCUUUAAACGACCCGUCUUGAAACACGGACC
RNAcentral lists this ribosomal RNA (400 nucleotides) under uncultured Trichosporonales. RNAcentral describes it as "eukaryotic LSU rRNA". It matches the Rfam family "Eukaryotic large subunit ribosomal RNA", at positions 271 to 667 of the family's 3401-position model. The record is from RNAcentral. Lineage: Eukaryota; Fungi; Basidiomycota; Tremellomycetes.